RNAcentral lists this ribosomal RNA (292 nucleotides) under uncultured bacterium. Its description in RNAcentral is "partial 16S ribosomal RNA". It matches the Rfam family "Bacterial small subunit ribosomal RNA", at positions 505 to 796 of the family's 1533-position model. The record is from RNAcentral.
GUGUCAGCAGCCGCGGUAAUACAGAGGUGGCAAGCGUUGUUCGGAAUUACUGGGCGUAAAGGGCGCGUAGGUGGUCCUACAAGUCCCGUGUGAAAUCCCUCGGCUCAACUGAGGAACUGCACGGGAAACUGUUUGACUUGAGGUCGGGAGAGGGACGCGGAAUUCCGGGUGUAGCGGUGAAAUGCGCAGAUAUCCGGAGGAACACCAGAGGCGAAGGCGGCGUCCUGGACCGAAUCUGACACUGAGGCGCGAAAGCUAGGGGAGCAAACGGGAUUAGAUACCCUUGUAGUCC